This 402-nucleotide ribosomal RNA is filed under the name uncultured bacterium. Its description in RNAcentral is "bacterial SSU rRNA". It matches the Rfam family "Bacterial small subunit ribosomal RNA", at positions 355 to 774 of the family's 1533-position model. The record is from RNAcentral.
UGGUUAAUAUUGGACAAUGGGCGCACGCCUGAUCCAGCCAUGCCGCGUGAGUGAUGAAGGCCUUAGGGUUGUAAAGCUCUUUCACCCACGACGAUAAUGACGGUAGUGGGAGAAGAAGCCCCGGCUAACUUCGUGCCAGCAGCCGCGGUAAUACGAAGGGGGCUAGCGUUGUUCGGAUUUACUGGGCGUAAAGCGCGCGUAGGCGGACCGUUAAGUCGGAGGUGAAAGCCUGGGGCUCAACCCCAGAACUGCCUUCGAUACUGGCGGUCUCGAGUCCGGGAGAGGUGAGUGGAACUGCCAGUGUAGAGGUGAAAUUCGUAGAUAUUGGCAAGAACACCAGUGGCGAAGGCGGCACACUGGCCCGGUACUGACGCUGAGGUGCGAAAGCGUGGGGAGCAAACA